This 882-nucleotide small RNA is filed under the name Histoplasma capsulatum var. duboisii H88. RNAcentral's name for it is "Histoplasma capsulatum H88 hypothetical RNA". Lineage: Eukaryota; Fungi; Ascomycota; Eurotiomycetes; Onygenales; Ajellomycetaceae. The record is from RNAcentral.
AUCCACUCGCCCAAAAAUUUGUACUAAUCCAAUCUUGAACUCCAGCCACAUUCUGGCCAAGUCGUGCUACAAGACCGUCUGACCCAAUGGACAUCCAGAGUGGUUUUGCAUCUUCUUUGAAAAAUAACUGAGCAACGGGUUUUCGGGCGCGAGUACAAGGUCUGCUAGCUUGUUGACUAAAGUUACUAGAUAGCAAUCUCUGCCUACUUCAGGGGUAACUAGAAGGCUAUUAUAUUAUUAGAGAUGAUUUGAGGCAAGCUCCCUCUCCUACCCUCAAACCAUCUCUUACUAUAUAGUUCAUCAUCACUUCUAUUUGCAGCUAAUGAAUACUUGAUAAUUACUUGUAUUUUUCUUUAUUGAUAUUAUUCUAAAAUACUAUAUUCUCCAACAGAAUAUUGAAUAAAAUAUAUUGAAUAUUUUUAGAUUUACUAGUAUAUAACAGAUCAUAGUGAGUGUGGUGGGUACUCUUAAGAAUGGGAAGCAAGUGCAGCAAGUGAUGGAUACUUGUUUAUCUCAAGAAGAAAUCUUUUCAACAUAUUCCUUACAGUGUCUGAUAAAGUGAAUUUAGUUUGUUAGCAACAGAGUUACAUUAUCAACAGUAAAUAUAAUUAACCAGUUAAUUAGCAGCACAUAUGUAAAUCAACCGUAUCGGUUUAUCUAGGCUGCAAAUUUCUAAAAAGUAUACAGUAGUUAUGUUUAGGACAGCAGGGCACAUCUCUUUCAUAAAAUGCUUGACAAAUGAUAAAAUCAUAUAAAAUCUAAUUCUCAAAACCAAAAAGAGGCCCAGAGACAGGAUCACCACGAAUGAGAAUGUUGAAACUCUGCAUAUUGCAGAGGUAAGAACCUGGAAGAUUGGCCGAUCGAAUCAAAACGAUGAAUGGC